GAAGGGUACCCUCGAGGAGGACAUGGUGCUCAUUGAGUGCCUUGUAGCAGGCAGCAAGGACCACCUCCGUCACAUGAGCACAACGAUCAAUGUCAUGAGGUCCAUCAACAAGGAUCUCAGGCUCAACAAUGGGCACCAGACCGUUCUCCUGGCAGAUGAUGGCAUAACGAGCCAGACCCUGAGCAUUCAGGUCAAUGGAAAGCUGUGAUGGCUCAUUGGGGCCAAUCUUGAGGACUGCACGCCACUUGGCAAAGCGGGCACCAGCCUCGUAGUACUUGGCACAGCGCUUGCCAAGGUCAUCAUGGCCCUGGGUGGUGGUCUCCUUGUCAGUU
This 332-nucleotide long non-coding RNA is filed under the name Brachypodium distachyon (stiff brome). Its description in RNAcentral is "long non-coding RNA (BDIS_LNC002721)". The record is from RNAcentral. Lineage: Eukaryota; Viridiplantae; Streptophyta; Magnoliopsida; Poales; Poaceae.